This is a long non-coding RNA of Carassius gibelio (silver crucian carp), 426 nucleotides long. RefSeq lists it as uncharacterized. The transcript is spliced from 3 exons. Lineage: Eukaryota; Metazoa; Chordata; Actinopteri; Cypriniformes; Cyprinidae. The record is from RefSeq and is a predicted model, not a curated record.
AUUAAUGUAUCAUUUUAAAAUCACCUUAUAAUGACUGCUUUUGCCAUGUUUCUAUACGGCUAUAUUGUCAUUUUUGGACAUUACACUCCUUUUUGUGUACCAUGGAAGAAAGAAGAACACAGGUUUGGAAUGACAUGAAGGGCAUGAUGUCUAUUUGAAGUAGUUGAGCCCGGCCACCAGAAGGAACUUCUCCAGGAAGAGUUCAGAGUCGAGCACCGCGAUGUGAGCCGCACGUCCGAUCAACGUGUUGGCCGUGUUGGGUAAAGCGUGGAACACGUUCUGUCUGAUCAAACGACAAUUCGGAGCACUCAGCAAUGGCUGGACGCCGUCCGACACAUCUCAAUACGGGCCGAGUGGAAGGGUACGUAUCUGUCCUGUGGAGAGGCCACCAACACCACGUUCCUGAAGAACUGCAGACCUGGACAA